GACGAACGCUGGCGGCGUGCUUAACACAUGCAAGUCGAACGCUGACGCUCAGCUUUUGUUGGGUGGAUGAGUGGCGAACGGGUGAGUAACACGUGAGUAACCUGCCCCCUUCUUUGGGAUAACGCCCGGAAACGGGUGCUAAUACUGGAUAUUCACUGGUCUUCGCAUGGGGGUUGGUGUAAAGGGUUUUUCUGGUGGGGGAUGGGCUCGCGGCCUAUCAGCUUGUUGGUGGGGUGAUGGCCUACCAAGGCUUUGACGGGUAGCCGGCCUGAGAGGGUGACCGGGCACAGUGGGACUGAGCAACGGCCCAGACUCCUACGGGAGGCAGCAGUGGGGAAUAUGGCACAAUGGGCGCAAGACUGAUGCAGCGACGCCGCGUGAGGGAUGGAGGCCUUCGGGUUGUGAACCUCUUUCGCUCAUGGUGAAGCCGCAACAAUGGUUGUGGUGAGGGUAGUGGGUAAAGAAGCGCCGGCUAACUACGUG
This 483-nucleotide ribosomal RNA is filed under the name uncultured bacterium. Its description in RNAcentral is "partial 16S ribosomal RNA". It matches the Rfam family "Bacterial small subunit ribosomal RNA", at positions 28 to 507 of the family's 1533-position model. The record is from RNAcentral.